RNAcentral lists this long non-coding RNA (318 nucleotides) under Mytilus galloprovincialis (Mediterranean mussel). Lineage: Eukaryota; Metazoa; Mollusca; Bivalvia; Mytilida; Mytilidae. The record is from RNAcentral.
UAUGCAUAAUAGGGAAGUGUAAUAUAAAUGUACCUUUGCUUGUCACUAAAGCUUUCUAGUUAGUUCUUGUCUGUAACAUACACAGUGUUUGAUGGGUUUAUGGGCUUUAAUUACAUGUACUAUGCUUUCAAACAGCUACAAGUAUAGGGGAGUUUGUCCAUCAAUUGGAUUAUCCUUCUGUCCCACAGACUCUAACUUUUGUAUAUACAUGUACAACUACACUUGUACCUCAUGACGGAAAUUUUUUGAACAAAAAAUCUUAUUCAUUUAAUUUGACAUGUUUGAUCAAUGGUCAUGUUAGAUCACCGUGAAUGAUUU